CGACUUUUGCUGCAGCCGGUAUUUAUUAGAUAACAAGCCAAUAUUGUUCUGUCCUAUUGUGGAGACUCAUAAUAACUGAUCGAAUCGCAAGGCCUUUGGCCGCGAUAAGUCAUUCAAGUUUCUGCCCCAUCAGCUUUCGAUGGUAGUGUAUUGGACUACCAUGCCGUUUACGGGUAACGGAGAUUAGGCCCCAUCACCGGAGAAAAUGGGUUGGUUU
RNAcentral lists this ribosomal RNA (217 nucleotides) under uncultured Spirotrichea. RNAcentral describes it as "partial small subunit ribosomal RNA". It matches the Rfam family "Eukaryotic small subunit ribosomal RNA", at positions 174 to 388 of the family's 1831-position model. The record is from RNAcentral. Lineage: Eukaryota; Ciliophora; Spirotrichea.